CGAAUUCGCCCUUCCUACGGGAGGCAGCAGUGGGGAAUAUUGCGCAAUGGGCGGAAGCCUGACGCAGCGACGCCGCGUGGGGGAUGACGGCCUUCGGGUUGUAAACCUCUUUCGACCUUGACGAAGCCUUUCGGGGUGACGGUAGGGGUAGAAGAAGCACCGGCCAACUACGUGCCAGCAGCCGCGGUAAUACGUAGGGUGCGAGCGUUGUCCGGAAUUAUUGGGCGUAAAGAGCUCGUAGGCGGUCUGUCGCGUCGGUCGUGAAAACUUGGGGCUUAACUCUGAGCUUGCGGUCGAUACGGGCAUGACUGGAGUUCGGCAGGGGAGACUGGAAUUCCUGGUGUAGCGGUGAAAUGCGCAGAUAUCAGGAGGAACACCGGUGGCGAAGGCGGGUCUCUGGGCCGAUACUGACGCUGAGGAGCGAAAGCGUGGGGAGCGAACAGGAUUAGAUACCCUGGUAGUCCACGCCGUAAACGGUGGGCGCUAGGUGUGGGGGCCAUUCCACGGUCUCUGUGCCGCAGCUAACGCAUUAAGCGCCCCGCCUGGGGAGUACGGCCGCAAGGCUAAAACUCAAAGGAAUUGACGG
RNAcentral lists this ribosomal RNA (586 nucleotides) under uncultured Pseudonocardia sp. RNAcentral describes it as "bacterial SSU rRNA". It matches the Rfam family "Bacterial small subunit ribosomal RNA", at positions 325 to 916 of the family's 1533-position model. Lineage: Bacteria; Bacillati; Actinomycetota; Actinomycetes; Pseudonocardiales; Pseudonocardiaceae. The record is from RNAcentral.